Molecule: non-coding RNA, 159 nt
Filed under: Blautia hansenii
Lineage: Bacteria; Bacillati; Bacillota; Clostridia; Lachnospirales; Lachnospiraceae
Also listed under: 1 other name
Description: Lysine riboswitch
Rfam family: Lysine riboswitch aptamer
About the family: Riboswitches are metabolite binding domains within certain messenger RNAs that serve as precision sensors for their corresponding targets. Allosteric rearrangement of mRNA structure is mediated by ligand binding, and this results in modulation of gene expression. This family includes riboswitches that sense lysine in a number of genes involved in lysine metabolism, including lysC.
Source: RNAcentral
UAUGAUAGAGGUGCAGGUUUCAAGAGUACCCUUUUGCAAGGCAGGGCAGCCGCAGGAGGGGAAAGGGGAAGCUGCCGAAGUGGGAAAAUCUGCCCGAGAUUUUCCUGCUGGGACAUGGUAUAAGAUAUCAUGUACUGUCACGACAAGUGGAGCGCUAUC